GCCUGUUCCACGAUGUCGAAAGAACACGUUCGCACAACUUUUACACGACAAACAGCUGAUUUCCGUUCCACUAAAAUCCAUCAGAACGAAAAUUUGCACGAAAAUCAAAGCGAACGAAAACGUAAGCGUUUCAGUGUAAUUUUGCGUUCCACUAUCUUUUUUCUUUCGUACGCAUGCGAACACAAAUGUCAAAAUCAGUCACUUGUGUGUUUGCUGUCGAAUGAUAAAAAUUAAGGAAAAUUGUUUUAACAUAAACAUUCCUUGAUUGAAAAUGGAAAGAAAAAUCACGAAAAAACUACACAGCUGCGGGCACUAGUUGAGUAUAUGGGGGAGAAUCCUAAGUUCGCCAGAGGAGUGCCAAUUUUUGGAAGCAGCAGGCAAUCCCAUGAAGACCACUGGAAGACACAAACCUAGAAAAAAUCAUUUUUUUAUUAUUUUAAAAAUGUAAAAAUACAAUCAUACUUACUGGUUGUUAGGUACUUCAAAUAAAUUCGAAGCAUCUCUUAAA
Molecule: long non-coding RNA, 508 nt
Organism: Musca domestica (house fly)
Lineage: Eukaryota; Metazoa; Arthropoda; Insecta; Diptera; Muscidae
Exons: 2
Source: RefSeq, a predicted model, not a curated record